UACGUAGGGUGCGAGCGUUGUCCGGAAUUACUGGGCGUAAAGAGCUUGUAGGCGGUUUGUCGCGUCUGCUGUGAAAUUUCGGGGCUCAACCCCGAACUUGCAGUGGGUACGGGCAGACUAGAGUGUGGUAGGGGAGACUGGAAUUCCUGGUGUAGCGGUGAAAUGCGCAGAUAUCAGGAGGAACACCGGUGGCGAAGGCGGAUCUCUGGGCCUUACCUGACGCUGAGGCGCGAAAGCUAGGGGAGCGAACAGG
RNAcentral lists this ribosomal RNA (253 nucleotides) under uncultured bacterium. Its description in RNAcentral is "partial 16S ribosomal RNA". It matches the Rfam family "Bacterial small subunit ribosomal RNA", at positions 524 to 776 of the family's 1533-position model. The record is from RNAcentral.